RNAcentral lists this ribosomal RNA (407 nucleotides) under uncultured bacterium. RNAcentral describes it as "partial 16S ribosomal RNA". It matches the Rfam family "Bacterial small subunit ribosomal RNA", at positions 30 to 526 of the family's 1533-position model. The record is from RNAcentral.
AUUGAACGCUGGCGGCAGGCCUAACACAUGCAAGUCGAGCGGAGCGGCGGACGGGGGAGUAAUACCUAGGAAUCUGCCUGGUGGUGGGGGAUAAAGUUCGGAAACGGACGCUAAUACCACAUACUAUCAGAUUCGCCUAGGUCGGAUGAGCUUGUUGGGGAGGUAAUGGCUCACCAAGACAACGAUCCGUAACCGGUCUGAGGGGAUGAUCAGUCACACUGGAACGGAGACACGGUCCAGACGCUGACGGGAGGCAGCAGUGGGGAAUAUUGUACAAUGGGCGAAAGCCUGAUCCAGCCAUGCCGCGUGUGGGAAGAAGGUCUUCGGAGUGUAAAGCACUUUAAGUUGGGAGGCGUGACCGACAGAAUAAGCACCGGCUAACUCUGUGCCAGCAGCCGCGGUAAUUC